GUCGAACGAGAAAGCCGAAAGCUUGCUUUUGGCGAGUAGAGUGGCGCACGGGUGAGUAACGCGUGGGUAAUCUGCCUUCGAACCGGGGAUAACACUUCGAAAGGGGUGCUAAUACCGGAUGACAUCCAGGUGUCUUCGGGCGCUUGGAUCAAAGAUGGCCUCUCCAUGGAAGCUGUUGUUCGAAGAUGAGCCCGCGUCCCAUUAGCUUGUUGGUGGGGUAAAGGCCCACCAAGGCGACGAUGGGUAGCUGGUCUGAGAGGAUGAUCAGCCACACUGGCACUGACACACGGGUCAGACUCCUACGGGAGGUAGCAGUGAGGAAUUUUGCGCAAUGGGGGUAACCCUGACGCAGCAACGCCGCGUGAGUGAAGAAGGCCUUCGGUUCGUAAAGCUCUGUCGAGUGGGAAGAACCCGCAUCAGGUGACCAAGGCUGAUGCGCUGACGGUACCACUGGAGUGAUGCACCGGCUAACUCCGUGCCAGCAGCCCGCGGUUAAUACGGGAGGUUGCUAGCGUUAUUCGGAAUUACUGGGCGUAAAGGGCGCGCAGGCGGCCUGGUAAGUCAGUAGUGAAAGCCNCGGGGCUCAACCCCCGGAAAGUGCUGCUGAAACUGUUGGGCUUGAGUAUGGUAGAGGGAAGCGGAAUUCCUGGUGUAGCGGUGAAAUGCGUAGAUAUCAGGAGGAACACCGGUGGCGAAGGCGGCUUCCUGGACCAAUACUGACGCUGAGGCGCGAAGGCGUGGGUAGCAAACAGGAUUAGAUACCCUGGUAGUCCACGCAGUAAACGGUGAUCACUAGGUGUUGCGGGUAUUGAUACUUGCAGUGCCGGAGCUAACGCAUUAAGUGAUCCGCCUGGGGAGUACGGCCGCAAGGUUAAAACUCAAAGGAAUUGACGGGGGCCCGCACAAGCGGUGGAGCAUGUGGUUUAAUUCGACGCAACGCGAAGAACCUUACCUGGGUUUGACAUCUGGGGGAUCCCAUGGAAACAUGGGGGUGCCCUUCGGGGAGCCCCAAGACAGGUGCUGCAUGGCUGUCGUCAGCUCGUGUCGUGAGAUGUUGGGUUAAGUCCCGCAACGAGCGCAACCCCUGUCUUCAGUUACCAGCGAUUCGGUCGGGGACUCUGAAGAUACUGCCCCGGUUAACGGGGAGGAAGGUGGGGAUGACGUCAAGUCCUCAUGGCCUUUAUGCCCAGGGCUACACACGUGCUACAAUGGGCGGUACAGAGGGUAGCGAGAUCGCGAGAUGGAGCCAAUCCCAAAAAGCCGUCCUCAGUUCGGAUUGGAGUCUGCAACUCGACUCCAUGAAGUUGGAAUCGCUAGUAAUCGCGGAUCAGCAUGCCGCGGUGAAUACUUCCCGGGC
This 1357-nucleotide ribosomal RNA is filed under the name uncultured delta proteobacterium. RNAcentral's name for it is "bacterial SSU rRNA". It matches the Rfam family "Bacterial small subunit ribosomal RNA", at positions 61 to 1379 of the family's 1533-position model. Lineage: Bacteria; Deltaproteobacteria. The record is from RNAcentral.